Molecule: unclassified non-coding RNA, 886 nt
Filed under: Entoloma inusitatum
Lineage: Eukaryota; Fungi; Basidiomycota; Agaricomycetes; Agaricales; Entolomataceae
Description: sequence contains ITS1, 5.8S rRNA gene and ITS2
Rfam family: 5.8S ribosomal RNA (bases 237-390)
Source: RNAcentral
UUGAAUAAACUUGGUUGGGUUGCUGCUGGCUCUUAGGAGCAUGUGCACACUCAUUCCAUUUUUUUAACCACCUGUGCACACUUUGUAGGCCUGAAUGAACUAUUUCGAGGAAACUCGGUUUGAGAACUGCUUGGCUGUUCUUGCAUUCCMGGUCUAUGUUUUUAAACAAUAUACUCUAAUAACAAGUAACAGAAWGUUAAUUUAUUGGCCUUCAGUGCCUUUUAAAAAUCUAAUACAACUUUCAACAACGGAUCUCUUGGSUCUCGCAUCGAUGAAGAACGCAGCGAAAUGCGAUAAGUAAUGUGAAUUGCAGAAWUCAGUGAAUCAUCGAAUCUUUGAACGCACCYUGCGCUCCUUGGUAUUYCGAGGAGCAUGCCUGUUUGAGUGUCAUGAAAUUCUCAACCUUUUCUGGCUUUUGUAUGAGCUGGUCAGGCUUGGAUUGUGGGAGCUGCUGGUUUUCUUCUGAAACCAGCUCUUCUUAAACGCAUUAGCAAAAAUUCUUGCUGAACCAUCUUUGGUAUGAUAAUUAUCUAUAUCAUUGAUAAAACAGCUUCCACUUUAAUGGUUUUCAGGCUCCACUUGGAUUGCUUUGUCUCCCAAGUGUUCGAUUCAACCGCUCUGAAGCACCAGCUUGUUUUGGCACAGACGUUAACUCGUUUGAUGGUGUUGUAAUCUUCAGGUUGACGAAGCGAGGCGUUUCUUAGGAGGCGCUCACGAGAGCAAGCAUGCACUUUCCAGUGUGUGCACUGUCAUAUUCCUGUACCUACCCUAGCUACUAUGUGGCUUUGAUGGGUCUGGUCAAACCAUGACCUGAACAUAUCCUUAGUGGGAGGAUUUUGCUUCUAAUAUUUUGCUACCCUCUAGGGAAACAAAAAACCUUUGACAA